This is a long non-coding RNA of Gavialis gangeticus (Gharial), 699 nucleotides long. RefSeq lists it as uncharacterized. NCBI's taxonomy places the organism in Eukaryota, Metazoa, Chordata, Crocodylia, Gavialidae. The transcript has 2 exons. The record is from RefSeq and is a predicted model, not a curated record.
AAGAUUUUGGUACUUUUCUAACAUACUAGAUGUAAAGUAUAUUUGUUAUCUGAUCAUUAAAAAUAGAAAACCAAUUUAUAAAGACUGUCCUUAAGAGAUCAGACUUUACAUUAUCCCGGGUACACAAGAUUUUAGUGUCACUGUUGACAAUGAUUUUCCAGAAAUGAGAUGUGUCAGUGCCCUACAACCAGUUUCCACAUUUAAAACAAAUAUCACGGCUUGGGUUUUGUUUUCAAGAUACAGAUUUCCCAAAAAGGGAAAAAAGUGCAUUCCAGCCGAUGCUGUGAACUCCUGCAAGUGUCCCCAUGAUGCCCAGCAGUGCACAAUGCCUCCAAAGGGGAAGCAAGACAGCCACUUUAGCAGGCAGGCAAGUUAAUUUAGUUUUGCCUGUUAAGCAGAGUUAGCCUAGAAGAACAGCCACGUGAUACCAGUUAUAACACUACUUCCACUUCAGCAGAUUGUAUACUUCUGGCCUCCCCCCUCUGAAAAGCACAUCUGGCUCCAACUACGAGGGUGGAUUGUACACCAAGUAAAACUUCCCACUUUGAAGUUGUUUCCAGAACCCACAGGGUUCACCUUGCCUUCAAGACUGCUCUUCUCCUGUUUAUUAUGAAUGACACUUGAUGAAGACAAAAAAGAUACAGUUGCUACAGAGCGCAAUCAAGUCUGCAACCUCUCUCAAUGAGGCAUUUUAGAUGG